UUUUUCGAUCUUCCUUGUCUGGAUCACCACUAUACUGUCUUCACUGCAAUCUCUCAGGAGUGUUUUUGAGGAUGUUGUUUUGCUAUUCCAUUUCUCUACCAUUUGUCCUUGUUGUCAGGUGGAUUUUUUUGUUCAUCCUUCCUCGCCUAUCUAUUUUUCCCUUCUUUCUUUUUUCUCCAGAUUGCUUUUUCAGCUUCUUCGCUUUGAUUUGAAUGGUGGGUUCUAGUGAUUCUAUGGGAGAUCGAUCCUCUCCGACAAUGAAUCUUGAAAAUC
This 273-nucleotide long non-coding RNA is filed under the name Elaeis guineensis (African oil palm). Its description in RNAcentral is "long non-coding RNA (EGUI_LNC002136)". Lineage: Eukaryota; Viridiplantae; Streptophyta; Magnoliopsida; Arecales; Arecaceae. The record is from RNAcentral.